Molecule: ribosomal RNA, 253 nt
Filed under: uncultured bacterium
Lineage: Bacteria
Description: partial 16S ribosomal RNA
Rfam family: Bacterial small subunit ribosomal RNA
Source: RNAcentral
UACGAAGGGGGCUAGCGUUGCUCGGAAUCACUGGGCGUAAAGGGCGCGUAGGCGGCCAUUCAAGUCGGAGGUGAAAGCCCAGGGCUCAACCCUGGAAUUGCCUUCGAUACUGUCUGGCUAGAGACCGGAAGAGGUAAGUGGAACUGCGAGUGUAGAGGUGAAAUUCGUAGAUAUUCGCAAGAACACCAGUGGCGAAGGCGGCUUACUGGUCCGGUUCUGACGCUGAGGCGCGAAAGCCAGGGGAGCAAACGGG